Long non-coding RNA from Photinus pyralis (common eastern firefly), 583 nucleotides. RefSeq lists it as uncharacterized. The record is from RefSeq and is a predicted model, not a curated record. The transcript has 2 exons. Lineage: Eukaryota; Metazoa; Arthropoda; Insecta; Coleoptera; Lampyridae.
AGCAUUAUGCGGGUCACUCUGUAAUUGGGCGCAUGCCUGUUGAGGGCCCAAAAACAAAAGAGGGAUAAUAAAAUAAAAUAAAAUAAAAAAUAAAAAGCAAUAGGUAUAUUUCACAUUGCAAAAAGGUUUGCGUAAUUAUGGCAGUUAGCUGUACAUUAACCAUAUAUAACGACUGAACUUUUGUUUGGUACCUACAGUGUGUUCAUUUGAUUGUAACAGCAAUUAUGUUUGUUCCAUUUAGAUUAGGAAGUGGUCAGAUAAUUUUUUGGAUAAAAAUUGGAAGUAAAAACAUCUAUGUCCCUAUAUCAGCAACCAAGAAUGAAGCUCUUGUUAAUACCAGUUGUGAUUUUCACAAUUGUGAAUUCUUCUAUCUGUGUCGGGGCACUACUCGAAUCUUGCACAACAUCUGAUCCUACUUCUUUGGGUACCUGCCGCGAACUUUGUUGGAUGUCAUAUGGCUCUGGAACUUGUAUUAGUGGUGACUGCUGCAUUGACUGAAAUAAUAAAUAAGUAAUGAACGAUACAAGAGAUAAACAACAUCCUAAUGUAGGCAACAUUCAAAUAAAUAAGCAAUUUAAUUUUU